UACGAAGGGUGCAAGCGUUACUCGGAAUCACUGGGCGUAAAGCGUGCGUAGGCGGUUCGUUAAGUCUGCUGUGAAAGCCCUGGGCUCAACCUGGGAACUGCAGUGGAUACUGGCGGACUAGAGUGUGAUAGAGGAUGGUGGAAUUCCCGGUGUAGCGGUGAAAUGCGUAGAUAUUGGGGAGGAACACCAGUGGCGAAGGCGGCUCACUGGACCGGAACUGACGCUGAGGCGCGAAAAGCGUGGGGAGCAAACGGG
Molecule: ribosomal RNA, 255 nt
Filed under: uncultured bacterium
Lineage: Bacteria
Description: partial 16S ribosomal RNA
Rfam family: Bacterial small subunit ribosomal RNA
Source: RNAcentral